GCCCGCGCCUCCGCGGUGCGCAGACGGCGGCGGGCGCAGCCACGGGAAGCCUCGCUCUGCUCUCCAGCGAUGCGCCCUGGCGCCCGGGCAGGGUGCCAUCUUUUAGGGUGAAUUUGGAAGUAGCUGGAGCAACCAAAGGACCAGGACAGGAAAAAUAAAUCAGGACCAUGGACAAGGACUGGAGAAAGGCACGUGGUGGCAGGGACUGCUGGCCUGUGUAAACUUGACCAAGGAUCUGACACACCAAGUCUGCAGAAGUGGAAGGUGUGGCCAGUUCUGGCACUGUCCAGGGGACCCAGUUUGGCACUGAGCACAGUGGCCAGAAGAGCCUGGGCGGACACCCGUUCCGGAACAAAGCAGGUGUCUGGGCAAUGAAAACACUCCGUCCUCAUGGUAAACCUGUGAGGCAGACAUGACAUAAAGUUGUCCCAUUUGAUGAUGAAGGAAACAGAGGCUCCAAGUAGGUAACUGAUGCGCCCAGGAUCAUACAGAUUGUAAAGGAUGAAAACAGAACUCAAAUCCAAGACACUAUUAACAUCCCACAGGAAGUGGUGUUUGUACAGUGCUCCUUGAUUAACGAAUCUCCAGGGAACAAACCUUCUCUGUAGGAUGUGAGGCUGUGCUCAAAAAAACUUCAUAAAUCACGCAGCCACGCUACCUGGGCUGGCAGCGGCAUGCUGGCCACACUCGGUGCAUGGCUCAUGUUUACUACCACCAUGCUGAAGGUGGUGAUGAGAACUGGAUCCUCCUCUUCUUAUUUUUCACAUCUGAUGAUUGGAAGAAUUUUCCAUGUAUUUCUGAAUGCAUUUUAGAAGGCCUCAGAACCACAGCCAGAUGAAUGUACGUCUUGAAAUACUACCACCCAAAACAGUGUCCUCCUUCCUGCUAUUACUAAAUGGUGAAUGAAAGCUACAGGCCACAUCCCUUCAGGUCCUAACGCCAUAUGAGGGUGGAGGAGCACUGGUCACUCUGAGGAGACACCUGGCACUGGGAUAACAGCUGAAGGAGUUGGGCCCGAGGACGGGGCUGGACCUGAGAUGUGUCUUCAUGCAUCCGAGGGGCUGGCCUGAGCAAGAGCAGUUAGACCUGAGCUCUGAGGCCUCCUAGGAUCAGACACAGGGCCAACGGGUGAAAGGCUCAAGAAAGUGAUUUCUACUGGUUCUCAGAAGGGAUUUUCUUACCGCCAGUAGAAUCAGCUCCUUGGCAGCCAGUGGGGCCACAGACUUCAUGGACAGGGCACUGACUUUGGAGUUUCUCUGGGUGUGUAUCUCGUUCUGACUCUUAUUAGCUGUAGGCCACGUGAAAGUCAUGCAAUGUGUCUGAGUCCCAGUUUCCUCAUCCAUAGAAAGGAGGGGGGAAAUUGAGGAACUACCUUGGUUCCUGGAGAAGACCAGGUGGAAUACUUACACCUCGAAAGGCACAGAGAAAGAAUGCAAGUUCCACCAAGAAGGACUUUUGUUUCCUAAAUCCAGAUCUUUUACAACAUCUGCAAGCCUUUCGAGAUGAAUAAGGAGGAUCCCGUCUGCAGAUGCUGGAGUGAGUAAGGUGUCCCAGCAGGUGUCAUCCUGGUCACCAGAAACUCUGCAGAAGGAAAAAUAAUUUUCCUUCUACCCAUUAUGAACGACAAACACUGCCUGAAAUGGACAAGGUGUUUCUUCGCCGACUGCGUGGUGGGAGUGAUUCAGCUGAGUCUGUUAUUCCUACGAGGGCUAACCUGCGGUCCUUCCUACCUUAUCGUCUCCAGGUGAGGGUGUAAUGAGAAGGUGGCUGCUACAACCAGGAAGAGGGUCCUCACCACAACCCGACCAUGGUGGUAUCCUGAUCUCAGACUUCCAGUCUCCAAAACGAGUGAACGUUUUCCACACAGAGAAAGCGGGUGUGCCAGUCGUUAAUGUGUUAUCUCUCAGCUUCGAAAUAACCUUGCGUUGCCCUGCUUGGUGAUGCUGGAGCUGGGCCCUGUAGACAUUUCUCCUUCGCCAGCUGGCUGGCUGUUAGGCUUUGGGAACAGAGGGUGCUGGAGCGCCACUUCAGGGCCAAACAGGAGGAAGGCAUUUCCCUUCCUGUUCCUAGCCCUGGCACCAGCAGGUCAAAGUGGAGAGGGCCUGGAAGUGCUCACCUCAGCAUCCUGCCUGGACCUGCUCCGCUAGCCUGCAAGUUUCCCACUACCCAGGGCCAUUGCUGUGGAUCAGCCCCCAUCUGCAAUCUCUGUCCAGGUUUUCCAGAAAGCAGACCUGAGGCAAGACUCCUGUGCUCGACUUUGUCAGUGAGUGCGACCACAGGAGCCAGAGUAAAGGACAGAGAGAUUCCAGCGGGGAAGGAGAGGAACCGGGGGCAAAGACGCCUUAGCAAGCUGGCUGCCUCCAAGUGCGACUGAGGCUCAGCCCUGCCAAACUGCCCAGACGUGCCUCACGCUCUCCCCUGGCUCCAGGACUCAGAUGCUUUUCUGCACAACUUCUGGAAGCUUUUGAAUCCUUUCACAAACAAAACUCCACACCUCCCUCCGAGCUGACUCAUGAACUUCCUGGGGAAAUUUCUCCUGUUGGUCAGAGAUAUGAUGAAAAAGAAUGCAGAAGAGAUGAGAUGUGAGAAGGACUUCACCACCAUUGCCGGCUUUGAAGAUGAAGGGGUCCAUGAGCCAAAGAAUGUGGGAUGGCCUCUAGAAGCUGAGAACAACACGAGGCCAACAGCCAGCAAGGAGACUUCAGCACUACAACUGCAUGGAACUAAGUUCUGCCAACAACCUGCCUGCAGCAGGGAGCAUCCUCUCCCCCAGGGCCGUCAGUAAAGAAAGCUGUCCUGGCACCUUGGUUCUAGCCUGGUUCCUUUGGCUCUUGGAAUUGAAGCUCCUAGUACAGUGCCUGACUAUGAUUAAGCACUUGGCCACUCAGAAUGGAUGCCAGCUGUUUGCCGUCCUGGUGCAUGUGAAUGACUAUCAGCCCUGUUACAUACCCAAGCACCUUCACACACGUUUAUUUUCUUCAAGUAUUUAGACACCAAAAGUUCUAAAAGAGCAGAACACAUGUCUGUUGAAUGAACAAAUCUGCAAAAUCAAGAGAAGAGGUAAAUAUUAAAGGCCUGAGUUUCUCAGCCAGGGCGUCCCUUCCUUUCUCCUUGAAGGUAAACUUGCAAACCAUGGAAUAUUUCGUCUUGAAGAAUCAGGACCAAGCUCUCAAAAUUCUCUAGCGAGUCUUCUGACAGGUCCUAGAGAUGACCUCUUUAUCAUAGUCAAGAUGAUUUGGUUGUUCAUCCUUUCAUGGUGUCCUUGGCAUCUUUCAGAAAUGGAACCCACACUGAUGGACUCAAUAUAUGAAAAUUCCACUAUCUGGCAAAUAGCCGUGCUUUCUUCAUUUUGUAGACAGGGAUGGGGUGUAGAUUAGAUUAUUCCUCAGCAAAAAGUCACUUCCUCCCUCACUCCCAAUUUCCUGGGAGGAAUAUAUUUUCCUACCCCUUUGACGCUGAGCUUGGCCCUAUAAUAUGCUUUGGUGUCCGCUGCCCCGUCUCUUCACUUGGGCUUGGCCGUCCACGUGAUUUGCUUUGGCCAGUGUGACGUUAGCUGAAGAUAUAAGACUUGAAACAAGGUUGCAUUUCAUCACAGGAAGAACGUGCCUUGGGUAACCUCUUGUUUAAGGAUGACAGGACACAUAGACCAGAUCUUCAUCCAACCUACAGCUUCAUGAUGGUUAAUUUUCUGUACCUUGACUGGGCUAAGGGAUCCCCAAAUAGCUAGUAAAACAUUAUUUCAGAUGUCUCUGUAAGGAUGCUUCAGGGAGAGAUUAGCAUUUGAAUCAGUAAACUGAAUCAAGAACAUCUGCCCUCACCAAUGUGGGUGAGCAUCCUCCAAUCCCUUGAAGACCCAAAUAGAACAAAAAGGGGGAGGAAGGGCAAAUUCGCUCUCGCUCUUCUUGAACUGGGAUGUCCAUCUUCUCCUGCCAUUGGUCAUCAGAGCUUCUGGUUCUCGGGCCUUAGGACUCAGACUGAAUUAUACCAAUGGGUUUUCUGGGUCUCCAGCUUGCAGACAGCAUAUCAUGGGACUUCUCAGCUUCCAUAGUCACACGAACCAAUUCCCAUAAUGAUUCUUCCUUUAUGUAUCUAUAUAUAUUCUAUUGGUUCUGUUUCCCUGGGGGAACCCUGACUAACACCAGCUUGGAGCCAGAUCAAUUGAAGCCCAAAUGACCCACAGAUAUCUGAGAAAUAAAUGUUAAAAAAGAAAAAUCGGUUGCUUUUUUUCAUUUGUUUUUUAAUCAGUGCUUCUCCAGACAAGAUUUUGUUCAGCUUUGCCUAAGUAUAUUCCUCCUGACUGUCACAAGAUUAUCAUUAUCUUUUCAGCCAAGAUGAUGUAUUUAACUGUGGCCUUGCCACAGUAACAGAGAAACUCCUCACAGAUAAACAGGAGGUAGUCACAAA
RNAcentral lists this long non-coding RNA (4404 nucleotides) under Equus caballus (horse). RNAcentral describes it as "lncRNA (ENSECAG00000052090.1)". The record is from RNAcentral. Lineage: Eukaryota; Metazoa; Chordata; Mammalia; Perissodactyla; Equidae.